Long non-coding RNA from Callorhinchus milii (elephant shark), 344 nucleotides. RefSeq lists it as uncharacterized. The transcript is spliced from 3 exons. The record is from RefSeq and is a predicted model, not a curated record. NCBI's taxonomy places the organism in Eukaryota, Metazoa, Chordata, Chondrichthyes, Chimaeriformes, Callorhinchidae.
CUGAUGUUGGAGAUGUGCUAAUUACAGCAGCAGAGACCAGUGAACUAAAAAUGACAGUGGAUGUGACAAACAGGCAGUGAAUCAUAUAACAAGAGAUCACAGGUGAGGUGCUAAUGAAGACAGUCCUUCAGACCAUUGAGAAAUCGCUUGGUGAGUUGGAGAAAGAUAAAGAAAGUCCAGGAGCUGAUGCCUGACAGGCAGUUCAUCAGACCAGCAGCACUCCUGCAGUCGAUAGUGGAGACAGAAAGGAAGAAUUGGGGUAAUAUAUGGAAGUGGACCCACCCCGAGGAUAAUGUCACAGAAAACAUUACAGACUGGCAACUAUAAUCAAUAAAGUUAUCAGU